This is a long non-coding RNA of Myotis davidii, 733 nucleotides long. RefSeq lists it as uncharacterized. The record is from RefSeq and is a predicted model, not a curated record. The transcript has 3 exons. Lineage: Eukaryota; Metazoa; Chordata; Mammalia; Chiroptera; Vespertilionidae.
CUUCUUGGUUAAGGAGAACUCAGGAAAAAAUUAAACAAAUGGAACUACAUCAAACUAAAAAGGUUUUGCACGCAAAGGGAACCAUCAACAAAUUGGAAAGAUUUGGAGCCCCUGAUUCAUGCUGUGAGGAAGUCCAAUGCCCUCCCCCAAACGUCUGUGUCUUUUCACAAAGGUGGAGUGAGAUGGUAUGUUACCAAAGCCAAUCAGGGCUUCUGCUUCAUAUCUGCUGCCUCAGUUCUGCAACUUGGCCCGUCUUGGAUUUACAACCACAUCCACACACACCCUCACACCCACACACACCCUCACACACAUACCCUUACCUUCACACUCAUGCACACAGAUGUAUCCAUACAAAGAAAUAGUGACAUUACCAAUGAUUUGAGGAUUAUGGGGCAGAGUUGCUACUAUGAAGGACAUAGCAAACAAUUUAAAUUGCUCAUUAACUAUUUCUGUUCUUAAAAGUACUUUCCUCCUCCUUGCUCCAAGAAGCUUCUUACUUGCUUUUGCAUUACAUCCUACCAGACUCCCACCAAUUCCCUCCUUCUUUCUCCCCCACACCCCUUCUUAUAUUUUCUGCUCUGGCCUCUACCCUUCAAAUAUGCGGAACAAGAUUGACCUCUUCACCUCUUUCUGCAAAAUCUUUCUCUCCAAACUCAUUAAAACUACUGAGCAGAAUCAUUUAACAGGGUCCACCCAAAAGACACCUCACAACUAUAAAAAGGAAACAAAGAGC